RNAcentral lists this ribosomal RNA (497 nucleotides) under uncultured bacterium. RNAcentral's name for it is "partial 16S ribosomal RNA". It matches the Rfam family "Bacterial small subunit ribosomal RNA", at positions 28 to 507 of the family's 1533-position model. The record is from RNAcentral.
GAUGAACGCUGGCGGCGUGCCUAAUACAUGCAAGUCGAGCGAACAGACGAGGAGCUUGCUCCUCUGACGUUAGCGGCGGCCGGGUGAGUAACACGUGGAUAACCUACCUAUAAGACUGGGAUAACUACGGGAAACCGGAGCUACUACCGGAUAAUAUAUUGAACCGCAUGGUUCAAUAGUCAAAGACGGUUUUGCUGUCACUUAUAGAUGGAUCCGCGCCGCAUUAGCUAGUUGGUAAGGUAACGGCUUACCAAGGCGACGAUGCGUAGCCGACCUGAGAGGGGGAUCGGCGACACUGGAACUGAGACACGGUCCAGACUCCUACGGGAGGCAGCAGUAGGGAAUCUUCCGCAAUGGGCGAAAGCCUGACGGAGCAACGCCGCGUGAGUGAUGAAGGUCUUCGGAUCGUAAAACUCUGUUAUUAGGGAAGAACAAAUGUGUAAGUAACUAUGCACGUCUUGACGGUACCUAAUCAGAAAGCCACGGCUAACUACGUG